AACGAACGCUGGCGGCAGGCUUAACACAUGCAAGUCGAGCGCCCCGCAAGGGGAGCGGCAGACGGGUGAGUAACGCGUGGGAACGUACCUUUUGGUUCGGAACAACUCCGGGAAACUGGAGCUAAUACCGGAUAAGCCCUAACGGGGAAAGAUUUAUCGCCGAAAGAUCGGCCCGCGUCUGAUUAGCUAGUUGGUGAGGUAACGGCUCACCAAGGCGACGAUCAGUAGCUGGUCUGAGAGGAUGAUCAGCCACACUGGGACUGAGACACGGCCCAGACUCCUACGGGAGGCAGCAGUGGGGAAUAUUGGACAAUGGGCGCAAGCCUGAGCCAGCCAUGCCGCGUGAGUGAUGAAGGCCUUAGGGGUGUAAAGCUCUUUUGUCCGGGAAGAUAAUGACUGUACCGGAAGAAUAAGCCCCGGCUAACUUCG
This 429-nucleotide ribosomal RNA is filed under the name uncultured bacterium. RNAcentral describes it as "partial 16S ribosomal RNA". It matches the Rfam family "Bacterial small subunit ribosomal RNA", at positions 29 to 505 of the family's 1533-position model. The record is from RNAcentral.